RNAcentral lists this ribosomal RNA (369 nucleotides) under Triticum aestivum (bread wheat). RNAcentral describes it as "partial small subunit ribosomal RNA". The record is from RNAcentral. Lineage: Eukaryota; Viridiplantae; Streptophyta; Magnoliopsida; Poales; Poaceae.
AUGGAUCAUUAUGUAUUGCUGCAUAAAAUCGAAGUCCUAACCUUGUUUUACUUUUCUAAAAGGGAUGGCUACAACGAUUUCAAUACAUUCUACAUACAGGCUGCAUCUGGUACUAAAGGUGGCUCUAGUGGUUCCCCUGUUGUUGAUUGCCAAGGAAGAGCUGUUGCACUGAAUGCAGGAAGCAGCAGUUCCAGUGCUUCGGCCUUCUACCUUCCAUUAGACGGUAAUAUAGUACUUCCUCAUGCUCACAGGAAGUUCUGGGAUCAUAGAAACCAGGUAGUUAGAGCACUCAAUCUGAUACGUGGCUGUUGGGCACAUUUGGUAGCAAGCCAGAAUCUGCUUAUAUUCCUCGUGGUACUCUUCAGGUGA